This 723-nucleotide ribosomal RNA is filed under the name bacterium IMCC4606. RNAcentral's name for it is "bacterial SSU rRNA". It matches the Rfam family "Bacterial small subunit ribosomal RNA", at positions 36 to 751 of the family's 1533-position model. The record is from RNAcentral.
CUGGCGGCAGGCCUAACACAUGCAAGUCGAGCGGUAACAGAUCUAGCUUGCUAGAUGCUGACGAGCGGCGGACGGGUGAGUAACGCGUAGGAAUCUACCCAGUAGCGGGGGAUAAGCCAGAGAAAUUUGGUCUAAUACCGCAUACGCCCUUCGGGGGAAAGCAGGGGCUCUUCGGACCUUGCACUAUUGGAUGAGCCUGCGUGAGAUUAGCUAGUUGGUGAGGUAAUGGCUCACCAAGGCGACGAUCUCUAGCUGGUCUGAGAGGAUGAUCAGCCACACUGGGACUGAGACACGGCCCAGACUCCUACGGGAGGCAGCAGUGGGGAAUAUUGCACAAUGGGCGCAAGCCUGAUGCAGCCAUGCCGCGUGUGUGAAGAAGGCCUUAGGGUUGUAAAGCACUUUCAGUCGUGAGGAAAGGUGUGUGCUUAAUACGUACAUACUGUGACGUUAGCGACAGAAGAAGGACCGGCUAACUCCGUGCCAGCAGCCGCGGUAAUACGGAGGGUCCGAGCGUUAAUCGGAAUUACUGGGCGUAAAGCGCGCGUAGGUGGAUUGGUCAGUCAGAUGUGAAAGCCCAGGGCUCAACCUUGGAACUGCAUCUGAUACUGCUAGUCUAGAAUACAGUAGAGGGUAGUGGAAUUUCCUGUGUAGCGGUGAAAUGCGUAGAUAUAGGAAGGAACACCAGUGGCGAAGGCGACUACCUGGACUGAUAUGACACUGAGU